UACAGAGGUCCCAAGCGUUGUUCGGAUUCACUGGGCGUAAAGGGUGCGUAGGCGGUCGGGUAAGUCUGAUGUGAAAUCUCAUAGCUUAACUGUGAAACUGCAUUGGAUACUAUUCGGCUUGAGAGUUGGAGGGGGGACUGGAAUUCUUGGUGUAGCAGUGAAAUGCGUAGAUAUCAAGAGGAACACCAGUGGCGAAGGCGAGUCCCUGGACAACUUCUGACGCUGAGGCACGAAAGCUAGGGGAGCAAACAGG
Molecule: ribosomal RNA, 253 nt
Filed under: uncultured bacterium
Lineage: Bacteria
Description: partial 16S ribosomal RNA
Rfam family: Bacterial small subunit ribosomal RNA
Source: RNAcentral